CAUGUAGCGCUCCUCCUCAGCUCCACCCUCUCCUCAAGUCACCUGUGGCUCCAGCGUCUCUUUGAUUCAUUCCCUCAGCGGACAGGUGGGAUCUAAAAAAGGAACAGGAGCUGAAAUCAAAAGAAGAGACCUGAACAUAACAACAGAGGAGACAGGAAGCAGCACAGAGGACACAGACAGGAUGAGGUUGAAUGAACAGACCGACAACGAGAGAGAAGAAGAAAAGACGAGAGACAAGUGUCAAUGCUGAGACCUCAAAGCAAACGACUCCAUUUAAAGAGGAGACGGACGAGUUUGGAGACAAGAGGUCGGCACAACAUUUAGAAUCAGC
This is a long non-coding RNA of Labrus bergylta (ballan wrasse), 331 nucleotides long. RefSeq lists it as uncharacterized. Lineage: Eukaryota; Metazoa; Chordata; Actinopteri; Labriformes; Labridae. The record is from RefSeq and is a predicted model, not a curated record.